UACGGAGGGGGCAAGCGUUGUUCGGAGUUACUGGGCGUAAAGCGCGCGUAGGCGGUGCGGUAAGUCAGGGGUUAAAGGCUGCAGCUCAACUGCAGUAAGGCCUUUGAUACUAUCGCGCUAGAGUACCAGAGAGGAUGGCGGAAUUCCCGGUGUAGCGGUGAAAUGCGUAGAUAUCGGGAGGAAUACCAGUGGCGAAGGCGGCCACCUGGGCCAAGACUGACGCUGAGGUGCGAAAGCGUGGGGAGCAAACAGG
This 253-nucleotide ribosomal RNA is filed under the name uncultured microorganism. RNAcentral's name for it is "partial 16S ribosomal RNA". It matches the Rfam family "Bacterial small subunit ribosomal RNA", at positions 524 to 776 of the family's 1533-position model. The record is from RNAcentral.